RNAcentral lists this ribosomal RNA (439 nucleotides) under uncultured bacterium. Its description in RNAcentral is "partial 16S ribosomal RNA". It matches the Rfam family "Bacterial small subunit ribosomal RNA", at positions 339 to 795 of the family's 1533-position model. The record is from RNAcentral.
CUACGGGGUGCAGCAGUGGGGAAUCUUGGACAAUGGGCGCAAGCCUGAUCCAGCCAUGCCGCGUGAGUGAAGAAGGCCUUAGGGUCGUAAAGCUCUUUCGCCAGAGAUGAUAAUGACAGUAUCUGGUAAAGAAACCCCGGCUAACUCCGUGCCAGCAGCCGCGGUAAUACGGAGGGGGUUAGCGUUGUUCGGAAUUACUGGGCGUAAAGCGCGCGUAGGCGGAUUAGUCAGUCAGAGGUGAAAGCCCAGGGCUCAACCCUGGAACUGCCUUUGAUACUGCUAGUCUUGAGUUCGAGAGAGGUGAGUGGAAUUCCGAGUGUAGAGGUGAAAUUCGUAGAUAUUCGGAGGAACACCAGUGGCGAAGGCGGCUCACUGGAUCGAUACUGACGCUGAGGUGCGAAAGUGUGGGGAGCAAACAGGAUUAGAUACCCCGGUAGUC